UUCUGAGAGAAAGUCCAACCAGGUUCUUAACGUUGCGCUCAUGAAUCCAUAUGACGACUGGAGCUCGAUUCUAAAAUCUUUAAUAAAAGGCCCAGAAGAUCUUUUUGCUCUGAAACAUCUGAGGAGAUUUCAUUCAGCCAACAACGUGAAGACCUGAAGGCUGCAGCUCUGCAGGACCAGAACCUGACCCAACAAAACCUGGCUGUGUGAUGAAUGCUCCUGUUUGCUCUGUUGCAUCUCGUAGCGUCUCUAAAGCUACUAGACUAAUCCCAGCAGCUACUACUAAUCUCACUACUACUACAGCGCUGCAGCUGCUUCCUGGCAGCAGGGAAACCAUCAGAUUAAAACUGGUUUCUAAUCUGCUUCUGCACAGCAACUCGGAAAUGGACAAACUUCAGGAAGUCGGAGCUGCAGUCAGCUUUCAACUUUCCCCACUUCAUCACAUAAACAGGACAAGGAACCAACUGAGAACAGACCUCAGCGUUAAACUGGAAGUGGGACCAGUAUGAUAACUGUGUUGAGUGAAGUCCAGGGUUCUGUGACCUGGGUCGUCUCUGAACGAUGGUUCUGAUGGACCAGGUGGCUGAGACAUGGCGGUCCAAACAGAACAGGGUUCAUUGCUUCACCUAAAAUCACUAUUUGUUGAGGAAAUUAAAGUUUUCUGUAAUUUCUCACAUUAAUCCAAAUCCAGCUGCACAUUUCUAUUGACUCUAUUGAAAACUGAGGCAAAGCAGAACAAUAAUUAACUUCUAAUUAAUUGAACUAAAAACCCAGAAACCUUGUUGAGGGAAGAGUUUUGGUGUUGCCUCCUGAAGUGAAGCAGCUGCUGCUGGCGUUGGCAGAGACCAGGAUGAAUAAUUGAAAAUGUUUCUGUCAGGUUUUAUUACCUGUCAGACGCAGAUUCCUGUUUACUCUGGAAACAAACAUUUGAUUCGUCUGCAGCUCUUCUUCUGUGACACUUUAAGCUCAAGUGGCAUCAGCUUUGGGACUUAUUGGAUUUGUUGCAAAAGCAUGAAAGUGCAUUGAAGUGAGGCUUUAAGUAUUCAUUAGUUCCUGCUGAGCCUGACGGCAGAGGAGGAACCCAGUGCGACCAGUAAGGGCUGCUGGGGAAGCCAUGCUGGAGCUGAGGCCGGUACCGGCCCAGCGGGGGAGCGGAGGCCGUGACAGUUGCUCCCAGAAAGCCACUAACAGGAUGACGCCUGCCUGCAGGACCACGGGGUGAAGCAGGAUUACGUCUGAGCAGUAGAUAAACUGAUUAUUCCAGAACCACCGGCCACUCGUUUAACCUCAUCACUCCUGCCACACGUCCGGCUCUGAGAGCGGAACGACGCUCUGCUCCUGGAUUCACCUGCUGGCUCUUCACCCGCGCUCCGACUGGUCUCCCUCCACGUCCGGCGAACGGCUCCCAUGAACUUCCUCUGAUCGAGAUUGCCGCGUCGUUUCUGGUCACGUUUCAGAGGCUCAUCGGCGCCACCAUGCUUCAGGCUGCUGGACUCCUGCUGCUGCUGGCCGUCACGUCACCAGCAGCUGGAAUCAGAGGCGGUGGCGCGGCGGCACAUAGCGAGGAGUCUGGAGGAUCGCUGCGUCUGGCCGACCUGCUGAAAUCAUCCAGCAAACCUUCAGCCUGGGAGCCGAGCCGGCACCGAUCCCGGCGGUCGGUGUUUCUGCAGCCUGGAGUGAGAAUCUGCUCCCAGGAGAGCGUCGACGAAGUUCUGGCCAGCCACCAGGCCUACUACCAACUCAGAGUUUGUCAGGAGGCCGUGUGGGAAGCUUUCCGGAUCUUCCUGGACAGAAUUCCCGGGACGUGGGAAUACCAGGCGUGGGUCCGCAGCUGCCAGCAGGAGGCGCUCUGCAUCUCUGACAUCGCCAGGAACUUCAGCAGCUCUGAGGAGCACAUCAGCCUGAUCCACAGGAGGAUGAAGAACCGCAGAGAGAGACGACCAGAGACACGAGCGGUGACUCCGGCAGCAGAGCAGAAGAUCCCAGAACUCCCAGGUUCUGAAGCUCCGUCCAGCACAUCUUCAUCGCCUCCACCUGCCGUCAUCAUCAUCACCUCUGCUGCCCCGCCCACUCCGGCCACGGACCGCACCGGACUGGCUUUACUUGACCAAGAGGACCCGGAGCUGCCCAACCUGGUUCCCGAGGGCCCCGAGGUCCACCUGGUGCAGUUCAGCGUCAGCCUGCUGGACCCGGGCUACUGGCAGCUGCUGGGCGAGCCGGACUCACCGGAGUACCUGGACCUGGCCACGCACCUGCAGGACCAGAUGCGGCUCGUCUUCGACCGACUGCCGGGCUUCAAGGCCGUCAGCGUUCUGGGGAUCCGUGAGCUGCUGGAACCUGGCAGGGUUGAAGGAAUCUCGGUCCACUACUCUGUGGUCUUUGAGAACAACAUCCAUCAUGCAACCUCAGAGACGACCAGAGAGCCAGAGGCCUCUGCUGACUCUGGACUCAAAGAUAUGUUGGUCAAGGCUUUACAGGAGAAAGCUUCUCUGCCAGUCGACCUGGACUCCCUGAACUUCCAACCAGAAGUGAUCACCCUGCCAACACCAACAUCAGCUGCAACUGAAGAGAUGGAUGAGCCCAGUGAACCUGAUUCCCACAAUGAGUUUAAAGUCUUCACCCCUGAGCCAGAGGUGAAUAAACUUCUUCCUCCUCUCACCCCAAAGGAGAAGGAAAACGAUCUUGUGACCCUGCUGGACUCCACCGCUGUCUCACAUGGCGAGAUGAUCACGGUGACUGAUGGGAUGACGCUGAUCAGUGAUGAUCCCCCGGCUCUAGAGGACAUUAUUGAUGAUUCAGAAGAAAUUUACAUGAUUGAACCUGAGCUGUUGAGCCAGGAACAACAGGAAAAGGAGUUGCUCAUCAUCACACAUGAGAUUGAAACCAUUAAUCAGGAUGAAACGGGGGAACUUGUGCGCGUCUAUAUCCCAACCCCGACGCUGCCUCUUCAGGGGGAGGCGGACGAUCCAUUUAUCACUUCGUCUCCUAACCUGAUAUCAGAGGAAGACCUCAGACCUGUUGAAAAGGAGGGAGAAAGUCCUGCGUUUAAACCAACAGCUCAGAUUUUAUUCACUGCAGCCGUUGGCAAUAAGGAGCUGUAUGAAAUCACAACUCCAAGUUUCAAACCUGCAGACCUCACAGACCAGCCACCCACAGAGCCAGCAUUGAUCCCUAAAGACGAAGAAGACAUCAACGCUCUUCCAGAUGAAGAAAAUGUAGAUUUAGGUUUUUCAAAACCUGAACCAAGUGACGUUCUGGACCAAGAAUCACAGGAUGUUAGAAGUUUGCAAACUGAAGCAGAACUGCUAGAGCCAGAGGAAGAUCCAGUCAUUCUGGAGGUUUUAAGGCCAAACCUUGAGAAAGUAGAAGCCUCAGAACCAGGUGAAGUUGGAGAUGAAAUGUCAGAGUCAGGUGAAGCAACAUUUGAAGUCUCAGUGCCAGAUAAAGAAGAAAAGCCAUUAGAGUCUAUCACGGAAGUAGUUGAAGUUUCAAAUCCGGACACUACAGAGACAGAAGCACCUGAAGUUUCAGAGCCACACCAAGAAGUUGAACAAGUUUUACCAAUGGACAAAGAAGUAGUGGAUGUUUCAAUGCAAGAAAAAGAUUCAACUAAAGCAUCGGAGACAAAGAAACAGUCGGUUGUCAAAAGUCAGGACGAAGUUACAGAGCCAGAGUCAGAAAUUGUGGUUCAUGUUACAGAGAAAGACCUUGAAACAUUUAAAUCAGUUGAACCAGAAGAACCGCUUCCAGAGACGGACUCUGAAGAUACCAAACCUGAGGUUUUCACAGAGCAAGGUGUAGAAGACAAUGUCAACAUUUUGCAACCAGAAAAAGGAAUAGUUGAACUUACAGAACUAAAAGAAGAGCAGAGAGAAAAAGUCAUUGAGGUGUCACUUUCAAUUCCUCAACUAGAGGAAAAUCUUUUGGAGGUCUCAGAAAAAGAGGAAGAGGUGGUGCUUGUUGGCGCCAAAGAUGAAAACGUUUUAGAGAGACCAGGUCAUGAAGUUUUGAAAGAAACAUUACCUGAAGUUCCUGAAGAAAAGGGUCCUGAUGUAACAGAGGAAAGGGUUCCCAUAUUUAUGGAGGACAGAGUUGCUGAAGACACCAAAGAAACCGUUCCCAAGGUCAAUGAGGAAGAGGGAAUUCCCAAACAUAUAGAGGAUAAGGUUCCUGAACACUCAGAAGAAAGUGUUACUAAAGUUAUACAGGACGUGGUCCCUGAAGAUACUGAGGAAACCGUGUUCAAAGUUACAGAACAAAAGGCUCCCAAGGUUACGGAACCAGAGGAAGCAGUUCCUGAGUUGGAUAGAGAAGAAGUUAGAGAGGAAUCAGGCCAUGUGGUGAAGCUUCAAACAGAAGAUGUCACUGAAAUUCCUAAUGCAGAUUUUGAGGAUGAAAAGGUUGUAGUUGCCUCCCUUGAUGAGAGGCCGGUGGACAUUGCACAGCCAGAACCUUCUUCACAACCAGAAGAGAAGACUGAAGCCACAGAUGAAUCAAAAAGUCCAGGACUGGAGACAGUUUCAGAACCAGACAAAGACCAAUUGGAUGUUUUACCAGACUUACCUAAAGGUCCAGAACCAGAAGAGGAGGUCAUAGAGCCAGAACCAAAGAGAGAUUCUGCAGAACCAGCUAUUGAGUCAAUCAAAAUCCUCCAGACUUUGGAAAGCAUGGAAGAACUUCACUACAGAGAGGAUAGUGUUCAGGUAGUGGGGGAAGAUCUACUGGACGGUUCUGAUGAACUGAACCCAUCAGUGGAAGAUAAUCUACCCAUCAUACCAGGACUCCUCCAUCCACCUGAGGAGAAAGCACCUAACCGCAUAUACCCAAUCACAGAGGACGUUGACUCCAAGGAGGACGUUGACUCCAAGGAGGACGUUGAUAGAACCAACAUAGAGGUGGAGAGAGAAGCCAGUGCCUUCAGAACACCAGGACCUGUCCAGACUGAUCUACCCACUGAAGCAGCAACAUCUGUCUCAGCUGCAACAGCUGCAAAGCCAGAGGUUCAGUCAGAGGAUACUGGAGUGACCGAUAACUCUUCAUCAAAGACACAAGACGAAGAAGAAAUGUUUGUAACUCAUAGCCCAGUCUCAGAAGCCCUCCCUGCACCUCCAUUUGCUGUCGACCUGGUUCAAGUACCGACACCUGACCCGACUGAGGACUCUGGGCCCUUUGAGUUAACAGAGGACAGAACUGAACCAGAACCACCUGUUGUUCCCCAGGUGGAAACGGCAGACCCUGAAAGCCUCACCGCCUCUCCAGGUGGGGAGGAGUUUUCUGAGGAAGUGGACCAGAGCAACACUCCCAGUAAGGAGUCAGUGGACCCUGGCAGUGAUCUGACCUCUGCAGCAGAGGAAGAUGCCACUCCGCUAAGAUACUUGACCACGCCCACCAUGACCACUGCCAGCAACAGGCAGGAGCUGGUGGUGUUCUUCAGCCUGCGCCUCACCAACAUGGACUUCUCUGAAGACCUUUUCAACAACACCUCAGCAGAGUACAGAGCCCUGGAGAACACUCUUCUAGACGUGCUGCUGCCGUACCUGCAGGCCAACCUGACGGGUUUCAGGAACCUGGAGAUCCUGAACUUCAGGAAGGGCAGCGUGGUCGUCAACAGCAAGAUGCGCUUCUCCCGCUCCGUGCCCUACAACGUCACUGAGGCCGUCCGCUGCCUGCUGGAGCGCUUCUGCUCCGCCGCCAGGAGGCUGCAGAUCGACCGCAGCUCGCUGGACGUGGAGCCAGCUGAUCGGGCCGAUCCGUGCCGGUUCCUGGCCUGCGGAGCCUCGUCCCGCUGCGUGGUCGACCGCCGGACCCAGGAGGCCCGGUGCCUCUGCGAACCGGGCUUCCUGGCCCAACAGAACCGGUCCUGUCGGAGCAUCUGCGAGCUGCAGCCCGAGUUCUGCCCAGACAGGGAUUGUCACGUGGUUCCAGGCCGAGGAGCCGAAUGCAGACCUAGAGGCAGAUCUCAGCGGUCCGGCCCGACCAGAUAGGAAGACGUGUUGGAUCAGACGGGACCAGAGAACGUGAAUAGGUACUGGUUCUGACUCGCCAGAGCUUCAGAGGAUCAGCAUCGACCCGACUGAAUCGGGUCAGAACCGACGAGCCCGUCUGAUGUAUUGGGACAUCGGGUCUGCAGCUGGUCAACUUCAACUGAAGGUCCAUCACCGCUGGGUUUAGACCCGGACUUUGACUAGGCCAUUGCAGAACCUCGACUGUCUUGUUUUCAGCCGUUCUGACCCGGUUCUGCUGCGUUUGGGAUCCGAGUUCUGCUGGCGACCCAGAUGAAGACCAGACAGUGUUCUGUCCCGAUACGUGGACCUUCAAAGUUUGAGAACAACUUCCUCUUCCACAUCCCGCUUCCUGGAGAACCGACCUUUAACUCCCUUGGACACGACCCCGGACAGCCAUCACCCCGGAGACGACCCGGGACUCAGCCCAUCACCCUCUAGGAACCCUAUUCAGGGUUACAUCCGAAUACUGUGUUACCCUGUAACAGAGUAUUUAUGUUGAUAAAGAGGUCAAAGGUCAGGCUGCUGAUGCACCAAGGCACUGGACCCAAAGAUCUACACAGGAAGUUCAGCGUGAAUAUUACCUGGGAGGUUAAAGGUCACUGUACUAUUUAGUUGGAUCUGAUAAACGCAACAGGGGCUGCGUCCUGUGAUGACCAGAUGGUGGCGCUGCAGUCGCCGUCUAGGGAACAAACUGGACUGAUUCCACCCAGUCAAUGACUUCCUGUUUGAGCUGCUGGUAGAAGCUAGCAGCAACGAUUUGGGUUAUUUAGCCUGUCAGACAAAAUAAACAAAGGUUCACUUUUCACUGUUAUUCAUUAAUUCAUAAAUACCAGAUUCAAGCUAAAUAUUUAGCUCAAAAGACAAAUAGUUGGUCUGAGUUGAGCUAGCAAAAUAUUUAAACUGAAGCUAAAUAUUUAGAUUGAAGCUAGCUGCUAGUAUGCUAAUUCACUCACCGACAGCAGGAAGUGGACUACCAAAAUAAAAGUUGGGUCUCCAGAA
Molecule: RNA transcript, 7004 nt
Organism: Xiphophorus hellerii (green swordtail)
Lineage: Eukaryota; Metazoa; Chordata; Actinopteri; Cyprinodontiformes; Poeciliidae
Gene: impg1a
Gene name: interphotoreceptor matrix proteoglycan 1a
Exons: 17
Source: RefSeq, a predicted model, not a curated record